This 464-nucleotide ribosomal RNA is filed under the name uncultured bacterium. RNAcentral describes it as "bacterial SSU rRNA". It matches the Rfam family "Bacterial small subunit ribosomal RNA", at positions 335 to 792 of the family's 1533-position model. The record is from RNAcentral.
ACUCCUACGGGAGGCAGCAGUGGGGAAUAUUGGACAAUGGGCGAAAGCCUGAUCCAGCCAUGCCGCGUGUGUGAAGAAGGUCUUCGGAUUGUAAAGCACUUUAAGUUGGGAGGAAGGGCAGUAAGUUAAUACCUUGCUGUUUUGACGUUACCAACAGGAUAAGCACCGGCUAACUUCGUGCCAGCAGCCGCGGUAAUACGAAGGGUGCAAGCGUUAAUCGGAAUUACUGGGCGUAAAGCGCGCGUAGGUGGUUCAGCAAGUUGGAUGUGAAAUCCCCCGGGCUCAACCUGGGGAACUGCAUCCAAAACUACUGAGCUAGAGUACGGUAGAGGUGUGGAAUUUCCUGUGUAGCGGUGAAAUGCGUAGAUAUAGGAAGGAACACCAGUGGCGAAGGCGACCACCUGGACUGAUACUGACACUGAGGUGCGAAAGCGUGGGGGCAAACAGGAUUAGAUACCCUGGUA